GUUGUGCCCUUGAGGCGUGGCUUCCGGAGCUAACGCGUUAAGUCGACCGCCUGGGGAGUACGGCCGCAAGGUUAAAACUCAAAUGAAUUGACGGGGGCCCGCACAAGCGGUGGAGCAUGUGGUUUAAUUCGAUGCAACGCGAAGAACCUUACCUGGUCUUGACAUCCACAGAACCUUGUAGAGAUACGAGGGUGCCUUCGGGAACUGUGAGACAGGUGCUGCAUGGCUGUCGUCAGCUCGUGUUGUGAAAUGUUGGGUUAAGUCCCGCAACGAGCGCAACCCUUAUCCUUUGUUGCCAGCGGUCCGGCCGGGAACUCAAAGGAGACUGCCAGUGAUAAACUGGAGGAAGGUGGGGAUGACGUCA
Molecule: ribosomal RNA, 364 nt
Filed under: Escherichia coli
Lineage: Bacteria; Pseudomonadati; Pseudomonadota; Gammaproteobacteria; Enterobacterales; Enterobacteriaceae
Description: bacterial SSU rRNA
Rfam family: Bacterial small subunit ribosomal RNA
Source: RNAcentral